Molecule: transfer RNA, 72 nt
Filed under: Phytophthora infestans (potato late blight agent)
Lineage: Eukaryota; Oomycota; Peronosporomycetes; Peronosporales; Peronosporaceae
Description: tRNA-Trp
Rfam family: tRNA
About the family: Transfer RNA (tRNA) molecules are approximately 80 nucleotides in length. Their secondary structure includes four short double-helical elements and three loops (D, anti-codon, and T loops).
Source: RNAcentral
GGGGGAAUAGCUCAGUGGUAGAGCGCUGGAUUCCAGUCCCAGCGGUCGGGGGUUCGAUCCCCUCUUUCUCAU